This is a non-coding RNA of Microcebus murinus (gray mouse lemur), 135 nucleotides long. The record is from Ensembl. Lineage: Eukaryota; Metazoa; Chordata; Mammalia; Primates; Cheirogaleidae.
CUCUGGGGUCCUCGAUGCGGCCCUCGCAUGAGCCCGCAAUAUUUUCCUUAUAUGAUCAGGUCCCAUUGCUGCUUGCGCGGAGCCUGAGAGGAUUAUGAAAACGUGGCAGGCGAGGUGGGGCCAGGGGACCCGGCG